GCCUGCAUGGAGUAGUGGUUAACUCACCGGACUCCGACUUUCAAUAGCUAGAGUAAGCCGGGAACCCGGGUUCGAUCCCCGGUGCAGGUG
This 90-nucleotide transfer RNA is filed under the name Annulohypoxylon bovei var. microspora. Its description in RNAcentral is "tRNA-Arg". It matches the Rfam family "tRNA". From Rfam's summary of the family: Transfer RNA (tRNA) molecules are approximately 80 nucleotides in length. Their secondary structure includes four short double-helical elements and three loops (D, anti-codon, and T loops). The record is from RNAcentral. Lineage: Eukaryota; Fungi; Ascomycota; Sordariomycetes; Xylariales; Hypoxylaceae.